GACGAACGCUGGCGGCGUGCCUAAUACAUGCAAGUAGAACGCUGAAGGAGGAGCUCGCUUCUCUGGAUGAGUUGCGAACGGGUGAGUAACGCGUAGGUAACCUGCCUGGUAGCGGGGGAUAACUAUUGGAAACGAUAGCUAAUACCGCAUAAUAGUAGAUGUUGCAUGACAUUUGCUUAAAAGGUGCAAUUGCAUCACUACCAGAUGGACCUGCGUUGUAUUAGCUAGUUGGUGGGGUAACGGCUCACCAAGGCGACGAUACAUAGCCGACCUGAGAGGGUGAUCGGCCACACUGGGACUGAGACACGGCCCAGACUCCUACGGGAGGCAGCAGUAGGGAAUCUUCGGCAAUGGACGGAAGUCUGACCGAGCAACGCCGCGUGAGUGAAGAAGGUUUUCGGAUCGUAAAGCUCUGUUGUAAGAGAAGAACGAGUGUGAGAGUGGAAAGUUCACACUGUGACGGUAUCUUACCAGAAAGGGACGGCUAACUACGUGCCAGCAGCCGCGGUAAUACGUAGGUCCCGAGCGUUGUCCGGAUUUAUUGGGCGUAAAGCGAGCGCAGGCGGUUAGAUAAGUCUGAAGUUAAAGGCUGUGGCUUAACCAUAGUACGCUUUGGAAACUGUUUAACUUGAGUGCAAGAGGGGAGAGUGGAAUUCCAUGUGUAGCGGUGAAAUGCGUAGAUAUAUGGAGGAACACCGGUGGCGAAAGCGGCUCUCUGGCUUGUAACUGACGCUGAGGCUCGAAAGCGUGGGGAGCAAACAGG
Molecule: ribosomal RNA, 763 nt
Filed under: uncultured Streptococcus sp.
Lineage: Bacteria; Bacillati; Bacillota; Bacilli; Lactobacillales; Streptococcaceae
Description: bacterial SSU rRNA
Rfam family: Bacterial small subunit ribosomal RNA
Source: RNAcentral